UCCUGGGAGCAGACUGCACUUGACUACUAAAUACUGCCACUCCAGCACAUCAGCACCACUCCCUCUUACUGACAAAAAAUGGGGAGGAAGGGAGCACAGGAAAAAAGUGGCUUCUAGAAGUAUUCACAUCCCCUUUUUCAAGCUACCAUAGGAGCUUUAUCUUCCCCGACUUCCCGUCAUCCAUAUAGAAUGCUUUUUGAAGAAGUGUUUGAGACAGUAAGGACUGAGAAUCAAGUAGUCAUCAGCAGCAUGAAGAACAUGGCGCUUUCCUCCUUGGGCUGAGCAACAACUUUGGGCAGGAUGGUUCUGACCUAUGGCCUGAUUUCCACAGUGAUUUGAAAACUACUUGCAAAGCCAUUUUGGUACUCUUCUUUCUUCACCUGUAUAUAUGAAAGACUGGAUUCAGCAAUCAUAAGAAACAUCACCAGGAAGCAGAACAUGACUGAACUACCAACCAAGUAUCUCACUGCUCUUCCCUUUGGUUACACAGGAGUCCUUCUACCAGUU
This is a long non-coding RNA of Lagopus muta (rock ptarmigan), 507 nucleotides long. RefSeq lists it as uncharacterized. NCBI's taxonomy places the organism in Eukaryota, Metazoa, Chordata, Aves, Galliformes, Phasianidae. The record is from RefSeq and is a predicted model, not a curated record. The transcript has 3 exons.